Molecule: ribosomal RNA, 429 nt
Filed under: Streptomyces sp. 8BA6
Lineage: Bacteria; Bacillati; Actinomycetota; Actinomycetes; Kitasatosporales; Streptomycetaceae
Description: bacterial SSU rRNA
Rfam family: Bacterial small subunit ribosomal RNA
Source: RNAcentral
GAGUUUGAUCCUGGCUCAGGACGAACGCUGGCGGCGUGCUUAACACAUGCAAGUCGAACGAUGAAAUCACUUCGGUGGUGGAUUAGUGGCGAACGGGUGAGUAACACGUGGGCAAUCUGCCCUUCACUCUGGGACAAGCCCUGGAAACGGGGUCUAAUACCGGAUACCACCUUGUCCCGCAUGGGACGGGGUUGAAAGCUCCGGCGGUGAAGGAUGAGCCCGCGGCCUAUCAGCUUGUUGGUGGGGUAAUGGCCUACCAAGGCGACGACGGGUAGCCGGCCUGAGAGGGCGACCGGCCACACUGGGACUGAGACACGGCCCAGACUCCUACGGGAGGCAGCAGUGGGGAAUAUUGCACAAUGGGCGAAAGCCUGAUGCAGCGACGCCGCGUGAGGGAUGACGGCCUUCGGGUUGUAAACCUCNUUCAGC